AUGGAAGAACAAAUCCAAAAAGGAAACAAAAUGUGUAAAUUGAGAGAAACAUGUCCACCUGAAGGUUUUGUUUCAAAUGGUUAUUUUGGCUGCAAAUUAGAAAACACAAUAAAUGGAAAUAAUGAUAAAUGAGAAAAAUUUAAAACACUGAGAAGUACUGAAUGAAGGAAAAGACAGAAGAAUUGUAGAAGAAAUGCAGAUACUAUGUGUGACCAUGGGAUCAUUUGUGGAGUUUCCUUCAAAAGUUCCACCUAAGAGAACAGACUAGAGGAUACUGUGAUCCAACACAGAGGGAGUCUGUGUAAAGCCAACCAUUUGAAGUCCAGAGACUGAGGAUAGAAGGAGUGUCCAGAGAGAAGAGAGGUAUCACCUACAUUACAGGAUUAUAGCUGAAGUUUCCGGUGAAAUAUCCCAACAAUCCCACCAAGUAUCCUGCUACAGAAACA
This is a long non-coding RNA of Neofelis nebulosa (Clouded leopard), 446 nucleotides long. RefSeq lists it as uncharacterized. The transcript is spliced from 3 exons. The record is from RefSeq and is a predicted model, not a curated record. NCBI's taxonomy places the organism in Eukaryota, Metazoa, Chordata, Mammalia, Carnivora, Felidae.